CGUCAAAUCAUCAUGCCCCUUAUGACCUGGGCUACACACGUGCUACAAUGGAUGGUACAAAGGGCUGCAAGACUGCGAAGUCAAGCCAAUCCCAUAAAACCAUUCUCAGUUCGGAUUGCAGGCUGCAACUCGCCUGCAUGAAGCCGGAAUCGCUAGUAAUCGCGGAUCAGCAUGCCGCGGUGAAUACGUUCCCGGGCCUU
RNAcentral lists this ribosomal RNA (200 nucleotides) under uncultured organism. Its description in RNAcentral is "partial small subunit ribosomal RNA". It matches the Rfam family "Bacterial small subunit ribosomal RNA", at positions 1183 to 1382 of the family's 1533-position model. The record is from RNAcentral.